UACGGUAGCUAUAGCGGUGGGGUUCACCUCUUCCCAUUCCGAACAGAGAAGUUAAGCCCACUUGCGCCAAUGGUACUGGGGUAACACCCGGGAGAGUAGGUCGCUGCCGGUU
RNAcentral lists this ribosomal RNA (112 nucleotides) under Flavobacteriales bacterium. Lineage: Bacteria; Pseudomonadati; Bacteroidota; Flavobacteriia; Flavobacteriales. The record is from RNAcentral.